RNAcentral lists this ribosomal RNA (449 nucleotides) under uncultured bacterium. RNAcentral describes it as "partial 16S ribosomal RNA". It matches the Rfam family "Bacterial small subunit ribosomal RNA", at positions 29 to 523 of the family's 1533-position model. The record is from RNAcentral.
AACGAACGCUGGCGGCAUGCCUAACACAUGCAAGUCGAACGAGAUCUUCGGGUCUAGUGGCGCACGGGUGCGUAACGCGUGGGAAUCUGCCCUUUGGUUCGGAAUAACAGUUGGAAACGACUGCUAAUACCGGAUGAUGACGAAAGUCCAAAGAUUUAUCGCCAGAGGAUGAGCCCGCGUAGGAUUAGCUAGUUGGUGUGGUAAAGGCGCACCAAGGCGACGAUCCUUAGCUGGUCUGAGAGGAUGAUCAGCCACACUGGGACUGAGACACGGCCCAGACUCCUACGGGAGGCAGCAGUGGGGAAUAUUGGACGAUGGGCGAAGACCUGAUCAAGCAAUGCCGCGUGAUUGAUGAAGGCCUUAGGGUUGUAAAGCUCUUUUACCCGGGAUGAUAAUGACAGUACCGGGAGAAUAAGCUCCGGCUAACUCCGUGCCAGCCGCCGCCGUAA